This 3419-nucleotide unclassified non-coding RNA is filed under the name Hevea brasiliensis (rubber tree). Lineage: Eukaryota; Viridiplantae; Streptophyta; Magnoliopsida; Malpighiales; Euphorbiaceae. The record is from RNAcentral.
CUUUUCUUAGCAAUUACAAAGCUAAUUAUUAAAUACACCGGGAAUACUAAAAAAUAAUGCUCCCUCUCUCACAGAAAAGUAGAUACUUCCUACAAUAUAGAGCGUGAAUCCCACAUAAUUAUGAGAGAUGAUGCAUGUGCACCGAUGCACCUAAUAAUUUCUCAACUAAACUAAACACUCAAUGUAAUCCUCUAACCUGAAAAUGCAUGAACCUUUAUAUUAAAAAAAAAUGCACCACAAAAAAUUGUAGGAAUGCCCAACACAAACCCAAGGACCAAAACUUGCCCACAAUAGCUGCCCGAAGAGAGAUUCGAUAGCCAAUAGAAGCCUUCAGGCCGUGCUGCCAUACCUCGAAAAGCAUAAUCAAAAGCAAGUUCUCUUUAUGUGCAUGGAAGCCUCUGGAUGAAACGACAGCCACCAAUAAAAGAAUAAAUAACUCUUUUAUUAUUUUCCCCUGCCCAAUGAAGGAGAUUCCACCCAAGCAACCAGGCAAAGCAUACAGCAUAGACAAGUAGAUAUGUACAAGAACCUCGGCGUAAUGGAAAAGCACACCAUUUCCAAAAUGGGAACCGAAUGAAGAAAUCAGAUGGAUGAAUUUAAACCACAAUGAAACACUAGCUUUUUUCUGUUCUCAGUCUCUUAUGAGCCUGAUCAGAGUCUUCCAUUAGAUUCUCAACUUCACUUUGUUCCAUCACUUGAUUGUUAAAAUACGCAUUUUCUUGAUCCUUUGAACUUGAUGCCAUAAUAGCUGCUCCCCUAUUUCCUUGUUUGCCAACAUCAAUUUGCACCGAGAUGUUUGUCUGAGUCAAAUCCACACCUGAAGACCGUAGAGCUUGGGUCAAAGUAUCCAAUAUCCCUUGAGAAUAUGUAUUUGAGAGGCUAACUGAUCCAGUUUCAAUCAUUGGCUCCUCUUGUCCAUUCAAUGUAUUGUUUGGAGAGGCACACUCAGUAGCACAAGGUUGACCCUGCCACAGUUGGGAUUGGUGUUGAUAUGCCAUAUUCUCAGCAUCAGAAACAGACUCCAGCACAGGCUGAGCAAUUACACCCCCACUCCCUACAGCAGCAAACAUAUUUGACUGCACUUGAACAUUAAAUGGAACUGCAGUGGUUCCCAGGACAGAUUCAAUCGAGUUAUUUACAUUUGUGAGCAUGGCAGUAGUUUUAUGAGUAGAACCAUUAUUCAAUACUUGAGAAUGAUCCAUUACAGCAGGCAGAUUGUGAUUUUUCUGUUUGAAAAGAAGACAAACCAUCAAUAUCACUCCUAUGAAUUGAAACUAGAAAGAAAUACUAUUCACAAUCAUAUCUGAAAGAGUCAUAAAGAUCCAUGUACAAAUGAUCUUCAAUAAAGAAAAAUAACAACAAUGCUUGCUCUUGUUGUCUUUAUGUACUCCCUUAACAUUAACAAAAAUAACUACUACAUUUAUCCCAUACAAAUGGUACAUAUUUUGAUAUGUGGUUGUCCCAUGAUAUUUGUCCAAUUCAAAGAACAAAUUUGAAACUAUUGCAUAAUUGUCUUUUACGGCCCUCACAGUAAUGUAUUUUGCAUGUUAAACACAAAAUCAAUUAAUCAAGGAAAAAUUAGCAUUCCAAGUACAAAUAAUGCAUUUUAUGAAAGAGUAUUAAUUGUCAAAGAUAUUAUAACUUUGGAGCAGAUGUAGUACUUUGUCUCAAAUAUUAAGUGUGUUAUUUCUUAUGAUCAAUAAAACACUUGAAAUCUACAUGAGCUCAUGAUGCACGUCAAGGAAAAUGUAUCAUAAGCAUCGAUUAGAAAUAGUGAUCAAGCACACAAUUCAUUCAAAUGAGUACAUGCCACUACAUGCAUAUGAAAGCAAGAAACUUUCAUCCACUAGGGCAAGUGUAUUUGUAGAAUUUACUCAUCUGUCCUCCAAAUGCAAAACAAAGACACAGAAUUACAUCUCAAAAUUCUGCAAGUUUUCUUUUUUCUUACCCUAGGUAAAAUUGAAGUGUCAAUUUAGCAAGACCAGUGGUGUUUUAUUCAAAUAUUCAUCUGAUAUGAAACAUAAAAGAAAAUGCAAAUAGAAAAUUCAUCAACAACAACCUAGUUGCAGCAUCUUCCAUAUUACAAUCCCCAUUGACAACUGUCAAACAAAAUAUUCCCAACUUUAUACCUAUUUUCCAUGUCAUAAAGUCUACAACAAAGUUAAUAAUCAAAUUUUAAAGGACUGUAGAAGCACAAGCAUCUCAAAAUACAGGAAAACUAUGUAUUAGGAAAAAGCAAUUCACAGUACUACAGUAUAACAACUCACAUGCAUAUUAUGAUUUAUGAAUUGAAAUUUUACCCAGGGUGUCAAUUUUGUUGGCUCUUGACUCCAACCUUGGUAUGGCCCCUCAUACAUCUGUAACUUUUCCUGUAAAAACUGAAUGUACUCUAUGACCUCUAACAAGAAUGAAGCCUUAUCUCUUUUCUGAUCAUUUUGAGGUAUAAGAUCUCUCAAAAUCUGGAACCUGCUUCACAAAGACAGUUGUUAAUACAUGAGCAAAAAUUCACUCCCAUGUUAUUGAUUGUCAAGGAGAAUCUAAGGACAUAAAAACAUCUGACACAAUGAUAAUCAGUCAAAUGCAAGAUUCUCCUACGACCAGAACCCAAAUGUCAUUGUUCAGAAUUAUGGUGGUUUACUAACAAAUAAUAUUAUAAUAAAGAUAAAAAAAUAAAUAAAAGCUUAACUCAAGUUCUAAACUAGCAGUUGUGUUGCCUGCAUGGAUCUUCUUUAUCUAUCUAAUUCCAUCUACUGCCUUGCUGAACCACUAUGAUUGAUACUAAUUUUAGUUUUCAUUUAAACCUCUUCAUUCCCCUUUAUUAUCUCGCAUACUUCUCUUCUUAUCUACUCUUACUAUUUGAAUCCGUCACUUGCUUUCUUGUCCACACCUCUGCACUUGCAAGUCCACAUUCAGAAUAACCAACCAAGAAAUUGGAUAACAAAACUCCAAACUUCCUCAAUUACCAAAUUAAAUUCACUUCAGCCAUAAAAUCUUCGAAACUUAAUUAAAUACUUGACUAAAAAAUUCCCGUCUUUCUUCUUUUACUUCUUUUCUUACUCUACAACUCAGACUAUGUACGUCAGUGCUACAAAGUGACUAAUUUUAAAAUCUUUCGACAAGUAAUCGAAAACAAUUCAACCUCAACAUUAGUACACCACAAAUUUCCUCAGUUGGCACAUUACCUUCGCAUGUAAAUCAUAAAACAAAGGGAUUAUAAUUAAGCUUGCCUCUCAUUAAUCUUGCUCCUUCUACGCUGCUCUGUCUCUGAAUGCUUGGACCUAUGCGUACUCACCUUCUGUUCACUGCUCUUACCAUCUAUCUUCGCUGCGUCACCUAUAAUUAAAAUACAAAUUUCAGGGAAAUAAACAAACAAAAGCAAUAAUAUUUGUACAUGUACCUUUGUAGGAAGAGGAGUCGUA